UACGUAGGGUGCGAGCGUUGUCCGGAAUUAUUGGGCGUAAAGGGCUCGUAGGCGGUCUGUCGCGUCGGGAGUGAAAACUCAGGGCUUAACCCUGAGCCUACUUCCGAUACGGGCAGACUAGAGGUAUGCAGGGGAGAACGGAAUUCCUGGUGUAGCGGUGGAAUGCGCAGAUAUCAGGAGGAACACCGGUGGCGAAGGCGGUUCUCUGGGCAUUACCUGACGCUGAGGAGCGAAAGCGUGGGGAGCGAACAGG
This 253-nucleotide ribosomal RNA is filed under the name uncultured bacterium. Its description in RNAcentral is "partial 16S ribosomal RNA". It matches the Rfam family "Bacterial small subunit ribosomal RNA", at positions 524 to 776 of the family's 1533-position model. The record is from RNAcentral.